Long non-coding RNA from Neofelis nebulosa (Clouded leopard), 397 nucleotides. RefSeq lists it as uncharacterized. Lineage: Eukaryota; Metazoa; Chordata; Mammalia; Carnivora; Felidae. The record is from RefSeq and is a predicted model, not a curated record. The transcript has 2 exons.
GAGAACUUUGAAUGCUCUUCCUGUGAAUAAUUAAUGAUUGACUUGCUAUGCUUGGAAUGUGUAAUGGAGUGAAUUCCAGAGAAUGUGCCUAUCCUUGGUGGUGGGCAAGAGAAAAUGCACGGAUCUUUCUCAAGAAAAUAGCUCUGAUUGGAUAUUUUGCUAAUGAUCGUAAUUAUGUGAACACAUAAUGGAGAUAUGUAAUGUAAUGUGAAGACAUAAUUACAAAUGGAGAUGCACCAGCCACUUUAUAAUCAUAGAAACAAACCUGAAAGGGAAGGCCAACACACCCAGGAUGACAUCCCAGCAGAAGAAUGACGGGAACACUGGGUCCUUGAUCACCUCAUUUUCGUUCUGGACCUCUUGUUAAGUAAAUCCAUAAAUAUCUUUAUCACUUGUA